RNAcentral lists this transfer RNA (68 nucleotides) under Marmota monax (woodchuck). RNAcentral describes it as "tRNA.Ala". The stretch from base 5 to 65 matches the Rfam family "tRNA", at positions 6 to 65 of the family's 71-position model. From Rfam's summary of the family: Transfer RNA (tRNA) molecules are approximately 80 nucleotides in length. Their secondary structure includes four short double-helical elements and three loops (D, anti-codon, and T loops). The record is from RNAcentral. Lineage: Eukaryota; Metazoa; Chordata; Mammalia; Rodentia; Sciuridae.
GGACUGUAACUCAGUGGCAGAGCACUUGCCUAGCAUGCAUGAAGCACUGGGUUCAAUCCUCAGCACCA